This 253-nucleotide ribosomal RNA is filed under the name uncultured bacterium. Its description in RNAcentral is "partial 16S ribosomal RNA". It matches the Rfam family "Bacterial small subunit ribosomal RNA", at positions 524 to 776 of the family's 1533-position model. The record is from RNAcentral.
UACGUAGGGUGCAAGCGUUAAUCGGAAUUACUGGGCGUAAAGCGUACGCAGGCGGUUUGGUAAGUCAGAUGUGAAAUCCCCGAGCUCAACUUGGGAACUGCGUUUGAAACUACCAGACUAGAAUAUGUCAGAGGGGGGUAGAAUUCCACGUGUAGCAGUGAAAUGCGUAGAGAUGUGGAGGAAUACCAAUGGCGAAGGCAGCCCCCUGGGAUAAUAUUGACGCUCAUGUACGAAAGCGUGGGGAGCGAACAGG